This 296-nucleotide ribosomal RNA is filed under the name uncultured bacterium. RNAcentral describes it as "partial 16S ribosomal RNA". It matches the Rfam family "Bacterial small subunit ribosomal RNA", at positions 29 to 334 of the family's 1533-position model. The record is from RNAcentral.
AACGAACGCUGGCGGCAUGCCUAACACAUGCAAGUCGAACGAGACCUUCGGGUCUAGUGGCGCACGGGUGAGUAACGCGUAAAGAACUUGCCUCUUAGACCGGGACAACAUUUGGAAACGGAUGCUAAUACCGGAUAUUAUGGUUUCUUCGCAUGGGGGAAUCAUGAAAGCUACAUGCGCUAAGAGAGAGCUUUGCGUCCCAUUAGCUCGUUGGUGAGGUAACGGCCCACCAAGGCAAUGAUGGGUAGCCGGCCUGAGAGGGUGAACGGCCACAAGGGGACUGAGAUACGGCCCUU